Molecule: ribosomal RNA, 253 nt
Filed under: uncultured bacterium
Lineage: Bacteria
Description: partial 16S ribosomal RNA
Rfam family: Bacterial small subunit ribosomal RNA
Source: RNAcentral
UACGUAGGGUGCAAGCGUUAAUCGGAAUUACUGGGCGUAAAGCGUGCGCAGGCGGUUCGUUAAGUUCGAUGUGAAAGCCCCGGGCUCAACCUGGGAACUGCAUUGGAAACUGGCGAGCUUGAGUGCGGCAGAGGGGGGUGGAAUUCCGCGUGUAGCAGUGAAAUGCGUAGAGAUGCGGAGGAACACCGAUGGCGAAGGCAGCCCCCUGGGCCGACACUGACGCUCAGGCACGAAAGCGUGGGGAGCAAACAGG